Molecule: ribosomal RNA, 211 nt
Filed under: uncultured bacterium
Lineage: Bacteria
Description: partial 16S ribosomal RNA
Rfam family: Bacterial small subunit ribosomal RNA
Source: RNAcentral
GCCUGGUAGCGGGGGAUAACUAUUGGAAACGAUAGCUAAUACCGCAUGAAAUUGCUUAUCGCAUGAUAAUUAAUUGAAAGAUGCAAUUGCAUCACUACCAGAUGGACCUGCGUUGUAUUAGCUAGUUGGUGAGGUAACGGCUCACCAAGGCGACGAUACAUAGCCGACCUGAGAGGGUGAUCGGCCACACUGGGACUGAGACACGGCCCAG